CUUCGAGUGAGGCUCUGGGUCCACCUCCCACCCGUGUCUAUCGUACCUUGUUGCUUCGGCGGGCCCGCCGUUUCGACGGCCGCCGGGGAGGCCUUGCGCCCCCGGGCCCGCGCCCGCCGAAGACCCCAACAUGAACGCUGUUCUGAAAGUAUGCAGUCUGAGUUGAUUAUCGUAAUCAGUUAAAACUUUCAACAACGGAUCUCUUGGUUCCGGCAUCGAUGAAGAACGCAGCGAAAUGCGAUAAGUAAUGUGAAUUGCAGAAUUCAGUGAAUCAUCGAGUCUUUGAACGCACAUUGCGCCCCCUGGUAUUCCGGGGGGCAUGCCUGUCCGAGCGUCAUUGCUGCCCUCAAGCACGGCUUGUGUGUUGGGCCCCCGUCCCCCUCUCCCGGGGGACGGGCCCGAAAGGCAGCGGCGGCACCGCGUCCGGUCCUCGAGCGUAUGGGGCUUUGUCACCUGCUCUGUAGGCCCGGCCGGCGCCAGCCGACACCCAACUUUAUUUUUCUAAGGUUGACCUCGGAUCAGGUAGGGAUACCCGCUGAACUUAAGCAUAUCAAAAGCCGGGAAGAAAA
RNAcentral lists this ribosomal RNA (569 nucleotides) under Aspergillus fumigatus. RNAcentral's name for it is "partial 18S ribosomal RNA". The stretch from base 184 to 337 matches the Rfam family "5.8S ribosomal RNA". The record is from RNAcentral. Lineage: Eukaryota; Fungi; Ascomycota; Eurotiomycetes; Eurotiales; Aspergillaceae.